UGGGGAAUUUUGGACAAUGGGGGCAACCCUGAUCCAGCAAUGCCGCGUGCAGGAAGAAGGCCUUCGGGUUGUAAACUGCUUUUGUACGGAACGAAAAGGCUCUGGUUAAUACCUGGGGCUCAUGACGGUACCGUAAGAAUAAGCACCGGCUAACUACGUGCCAGCAGCCGCGGUAAUACGUAGGGUGCAAGCGUUAAUCGGAAUUACUGGGCGUAAAGCGUGCGCAGGCGGUGCUGUAAGACAGGCGUGAAAUCCCCGGGCUUAACCUGGGAAUUGCGCUUGUGACUGCAGUGCUGGAGUGCGGCAGAGGGGGAUGGAAUUCCGCGUGUAGCAGUGAAAUGCGUAGAUAUGCGGAGGAACACCGAUGGCGAAGGCAAUCCCCUGGGCCUGCACUGACGCUCAUGCACGAAAGCGUGGGGAGCAAACA
This 427-nucleotide ribosomal RNA is filed under the name uncultured Hydrogenophaga sp. RNAcentral's name for it is "bacterial SSU rRNA". It matches the Rfam family "Bacterial small subunit ribosomal RNA", at positions 355 to 774 of the family's 1533-position model. The record is from RNAcentral. Lineage: Bacteria; Pseudomonadati; Pseudomonadota; Betaproteobacteria; Burkholderiales; Comamonadaceae.